Molecule: ribosomal RNA, 249 nt
Filed under: uncultured bacterium
Lineage: Bacteria
Description: partial 16S ribosomal RNA
Rfam family: Bacterial small subunit ribosomal RNA
Source: RNAcentral
UACAGAGGUCUCAACCGUUGUUCGGAUUCAUUGGGCGUAAAGGGUGCGUAGGCGGUCGCGCAAGUCGGAUGUGAAAUCUUGGGCUCAACCCGAAACUGCAUUCGAUACUGCGUGGCUCGAGUACUGGAGAGGAGACGUGGAAUUUACGGUGUAGCAGUGAAAUGCGUAGAUAUCGUAAGGAAGACCAGUGGCGAAGGCGAGUCUCUGGACAGUACUGACGCUGAGCACGAAGGCCAGGGAGCAAACGGG